AAUCUGAAAGGGGCCAAAAAAGAAACUGCACAGACUCCCAUCUCCCAUACUACACAUUCAAAUAGCUUAAGAACGCUCGUGGCCUGGACCCAUUUGUGCCUGAAGCCCACCGUUUGCCUCUUCGUUUGGUUCAGCGCCAGAGGCAGAGGCCGCCGGAGCUGUCUUACGUCUCCUGCUAAAGUGCGACAGCAACACAUGGAUUGCAAAAUAGACCAGCACGCCGAAGACGAGCGUGGAGACAAUCAUGGAGGUCUUCAGGGUCCUGCUGGACCCUGCAGCGUAGGCGAUCAGGAGGCCGAGCAGGUCCAGAACGAUAGUGGCGUUCAUCACCCAGAGCCACAAUGGCUUGUUUUGCAGUGACGGGGGAAGCAGAAGCACGAUGACGACGACGGACGCCACAAAGGAGGUGGAGUUGCUGUAGAAGAAGGCCAGGUACCGCGACCUCCUGUUGUCGUGCAUCACCGGGUCGCCGGCGGCGUGCCCGCUGCCGUUGGACUGCCAGAACCCACCGGGCGGCGCCAGGCCGGCCUGGUAGGUGACGCUCGCCGCAAGGAUCCCCAGCAGCAUCAGGUACUUGCGCUUGGCAUGCAACUUCUUUUCCCGGCGAACUUGUGCAGCUGUAUUGCUGCUGUUGCCGCGUACUUGUGAAGGGGCCUGCUCUGCUCUCGUGGCAUUAUUGGCACCACCGCCUUCCUCAG
RNAcentral lists this long non-coding RNA (698 nucleotides) under Setaria italica (foxtail millet). Its description in RNAcentral is "long non-coding RNA (SITA_LNC002396)". The record is from RNAcentral. Lineage: Eukaryota; Viridiplantae; Streptophyta; Magnoliopsida; Poales; Poaceae.